RNAcentral lists this ribosomal RNA (507 nucleotides) under Eucephalobus striatus. Its description in RNAcentral is "SSU rRNA". It matches the Rfam family "Eukaryotic small subunit ribosomal RNA", at positions 88 to 590 of the family's 1831-position model. The record is from RNAcentral. Lineage: Eukaryota; Metazoa; Nematoda; Chromadorea; Rhabditida; Cephalobidae.
CGCGAAUGGCUCAUUACAACAGCUAACAAAUCUACUUGAUCUUGACACAAUCCUACUUGGAUAACUGUGGUAAUUCUAGAGCUAAUACAUGCAUUAAAGCUCUGACCUUCGGGGAAGAGUGCAUUUAUUAGAACAAAACCAAGCGGCUUCGGCCGUUUUCGGUUGACUCAUAGUAACUGAGCUGAUCGCAUGGUCUUGCACCGGCGACGUGUCUUUCGAGUAUCUGCCGUAUCAACUUUCGAUGGUAGUGUAUCUGACUACCAUGGUGAUCACGCGUAACGGAGAAUAAGGGUUCGACUCCGGAGAGUUCGCCUGAGAAAUCGCGAACACAUCUAAGGAAGGCAGCAGGCGCGAAAAUUACCCACUCUCAGCACGAGGAGGUAGUGACGAAAAAUAACGAGACCGUUCUCUUAUGAGGCCGGUCAUCGGAAUGGGUACAAUUUAAACCCUUUAACGAGUAUCUAUGAGGGGGCAAGUCUGGUGCCAGCAGCCGCGGUAAUUCCAGCU